GCGGGAGUGGCGGAGCUGGCAGACGCGCGGGAUUUAGGUUCCCGUGCCCGAAAGGGCGCAGGGGUUCGAACCCCCUCUCCCGCACCA
RNAcentral lists this transfer RNA (87 nucleotides) under Motilibacter aurantiacus. RNAcentral's name for it is "tRNA-Leu". It matches the Rfam family "tRNA". Rfam says of the family: Transfer RNA (tRNA) molecules are approximately 80 nucleotides in length. RNAcentral also lists the same sequence under 1 other name. The record is from RNAcentral. Lineage: Bacteria; Bacillati; Actinomycetota; Actinomycetes; Motilibacterales; Motilibacteraceae.